This 497-nucleotide ribosomal RNA is filed under the name uncultured bacterium. RNAcentral's name for it is "partial 16S ribosomal RNA". It matches the Rfam family "Bacterial small subunit ribosomal RNA", at positions 28 to 507 of the family's 1533-position model. The record is from RNAcentral.
GAUGAACGCUGGCGGCGUGCCUAAUACAUGCAAGUCGAGCGAACGGACGAGAAGCUUGCUCUUCUGAUGUUAGCGGCGGACGGGUGAGUAACACGUGGAUAACCUACCUAUAAGACUGGGAUAACUUCGGGAAACCGGAGCUAAUACCGGAUAAUAUUUUGAACCGCAUGGUUCAAAAGUGAAAGACGGUCUUGCUGUCACUUAUAGAUGGAUCCGCGCUGCAUUAGCUAGUUGGUAAGGUAACGGCUUACCAAGGCAACGAUGCAUAGCUGACCUGAGAGGGUGAUCGGCCACACUGGAACUGAGACACGGUCCAGACUCCUACGGGAGGCAGCAGUAGGGAAUCUUCCGCAAUGGGCGAAAGCCUGACGGAGCAACGCCGCGUGAGUGAUGAAGGUCUUCGGAUCGUAAAACUCUGUUAUUAGGGAAGAAAAUAUGUGUAAGUAACUGUGCACGUCUUGACGGUACCUAAUCAGAAAGCCACGGCUAACUACGUG